Molecule: ribosomal RNA, 762 nt
Filed under: Triticum aestivum (bread wheat)
Lineage: Eukaryota; Viridiplantae; Streptophyta; Magnoliopsida; Poales; Poaceae
Description: partial small subunit ribosomal RNA
Source: RNAcentral
AUGAGAGACCUUCUUAAGUAUUGCAAAAGAAGGGGCCUGGUGAUAGAGCUGGGCGGGGAGGCGAUACUAGUUAUCAGGUCAGAGAGAGGCCUGGCCCGUAAGCUGGCCCCCUUUAAAAGCCAUUCCUUAUUAAUAAGGAUUUGUUACGCGCAAUAUGCCGACGACUUACUACUGGGAAUCGUGGGUGCCGUAUUUCUUCUCAUAGAAAUACAAAAACGUAUCACCCACUUCCUACAAUCCGGUCUGAACCUUUGGGUAGGCUCCGCAGGAUCAACAACCAUAGCUGCACGGAGUACGGUAGAAUUCCCCGAUAUGGUCAUUCGGGAAGUCCCCCCGAGGACGACUCCCAUACAAUUCUUGCGAGAGCUGGAGAAGCGUCUACGGGUAAAGCACCGUAUCCAUAUAACUGCCUGCCACCUACGCUCCGCCAUCCAUUCCAAGUUUAGGGACCUAGGUUAUAGUAUCCCUAUCAAAGAGCUUACGAAGGGGAUGAGCGGAAGAGGUCGUCUACUGGACGCAGUUCAACUAGUGGAGACUCUUGGAAAAGAUGGACUAAAAAGUCCCCAAGUUAGCGUAUUAUGGGGGACCGUCAAGCACAUCCGGCAAAGAUCGAGGGGGAUCUCGUUGUUGCAUAGCUCAGGUCAGAGCAAGGUGCCAUCAGGCGUUCAACAGGCAGUCUCACGAUCGGGCAUGAGUGUCCUGAAGAAGAAAUUGUAUACUCCCUUUGGUCGGAAGGCGGCGGGGGAAGGAAGGGGACACUAG